AGUCGUAACAAGGUUUCCGUAGGUGAACCUGCGGAAGGAUCAUUAUUGGAUGGAUGAGGAGUGAGCAUGUGCGUGAGCACAGACGAGCUUCUCGGCCAGGGGGCAGUGAUGGUUGCGCAGUAAUGUGCAAACGCACUGCCUGAAACUUGCCCUCGCGAGAGGGUGGGCAUUGUGACAUUUUUUUUGACUUUAUCAACCAAAUAUAAAUUACUUUUAACAACGGAUCUCUGGGCUCCC
RNAcentral lists this unclassified non-coding RNA (237 nucleotides) under fungal sp. Its description in RNAcentral is "partial internal transcribed spacer region". The stretch from base 1 to 45 matches the Rfam family "Eukaryotic small subunit ribosomal RNA", at positions 1787 to 1831 of the family's 1831-position model. Lineage: Eukaryota; Fungi. The record is from RNAcentral.